RNAcentral lists this ribosomal RNA (253 nucleotides) under uncultured bacterium. Its description in RNAcentral is "partial 16S ribosomal RNA". It matches the Rfam family "Bacterial small subunit ribosomal RNA", at positions 524 to 776 of the family's 1533-position model. The record is from RNAcentral.
UACGGAGGAGGCAAGCGUUAUCCGGAAUUAUUGGGAGUAAAGCGUCCGUAGGUGGUUGACCAAGUCUGCUGUCAAAAGGUGGGGCUUAACCUCAUAAAGGCAGUGGAAACUGGUGAGCUAGAGUGCGGUAGGGGUAAGGGGAAUUACAAGUGUAGCGGUGAAAUGCGUAGAGAUUGGGAAGAACAUCGGUGGCGAAAGCGCCUUGCUGGGCCUGCACUGACACUGAGGGACGAAAGCUAGGGGAGCGAAAGGG